RNAcentral lists this transfer RNA (75 nucleotides) under bacterium. RNAcentral's name for it is "tRNA-Gln". It matches the Rfam family "tRNA". Rfam says of the family: Transfer RNA (tRNA) molecules are approximately 80 nucleotides in length. Their secondary structure includes four short double-helical elements and three loops (D, anti-codon, and T loops). The record is from RNAcentral.
UGGGGCGUAGCCAAGUGGUAAGGCAUCGGGUUUUGAUCUCGUGUAUCGUAGGUUCGAAUCCUACCGCCCCAGCCA